This 2890-nucleotide ribosomal RNA is filed under the name Neisseria gonorrhoeae. Its description in RNAcentral is "bacterial LSU rRNA". It matches the Rfam family "Bacterial large subunit ribosomal RNA". The record is from RNAcentral. Lineage: Bacteria; Pseudomonadati; Pseudomonadota; Betaproteobacteria; Neisseriales; Neisseriaceae.
UCAAGUGAAUAAGUGCAUCAGGCGGAUGCCUUGGCGAUGAUAGGCGACGAAGGACGUGUAAGCCUGCGAAAAGCGCGGGGGAGCUGGCAAUAAAGCUAUGAUUCCGCGAUGUCCGAAUGGGGAAACCCACUGCAUUCUGUGCAGUAUCCUAAGUUGAAUACAUAGGCUUAGAGAAGCGAACCCGGAGAACUGAACCAUCUAAGUACCCGGAGGAAAAGAAAUCAACCGAGAUUCCGCAAGUAGUGGCGAGCGAACGCGGAGGAGCCUGUACGUAAUAACUGUCGAGAUAGAAGAACAAGCUGGGAAGCUUGACCAUAGCGGGUGACAGUCCCGUAUUCGAAAUCUCAACAGCGGUACUAAGCGUACGAAAAGUAGGGCGGGACACGUGAAAUCCUGUCUGAAUAUGGGGGGGCCAUCCUCCAAGGCUAAAUACUCAUCAUCGACCGAUAGUGAACCAGUACCGUGAGGGAAAGGCGAAAAGAACCCCGGGAGGGGAGUGAAACAGAACCUGAAACCUGAUGCAUACAAACAGUGGGAGCGCCCUAGUGGUGUGACUGCGUACCUUUUGUAUAAUGGGUCAACGACUUACAUUCAGUAGCGAGCUUAACCGGAUAGGGGAGGCGUAGGGAAACCGAGUCUUAAUAGGGCGAUGAGUUGCUGGGUGUAGACCCGAAACCGAGUGAUCUAUCCAUGGCCAGGUUGAAGGUGCCGUAACAGGUACUGGAGGACCGAACCCACGCAUGUUGCAAAAUGCGGGGAUGAGCUGUGGGUAGGGGUGAAAGGCUAAACAAACUCGGAGAUAGCUGGUUCUCCCCGAAAACUAUUUAGGUAGUGCCUCGAGCAAGACACUGAUGGGGGUAAAGCACUGUUAUGGCUAGGGGGUUAUUGCAACUUACCAACCCAUGGCAAACUCAGAAUACCAUCAAGUGGUUCCUCGGGAGACAGACAGCGGGUGCUAACGUCCGUUGUCAAGAGGGAAACAACCCAGACCGCCGGCUAAGGUCCCAAAUGAUAGAUUAAGUGGUAAACGAAGUGGGAAGGCACAGACAGCCAGGAUGUUGGCUUAGAAGCAGCCAUCAUUUAAAGAAAGCGUAAUAGCUCACUGGUCGAGUCGUCCUGCGCGGAAGAUGUAACGGGGCUCAAAUCUAUAACCGAAGCUGCGGAUGCCGGUUUACCGGCAUGGUAGGGGAGCGUUCUGUAGGCUGAUGAAGGUGCAUUGUAAAGUGUGCUGGAGGUAUCAGAAGUGCGAAUGUUGACAUGAGUAGCGAUAAAGCGGGUGAAAAGCCCGCUCGCCGAAAGCCCAAGGUUUCCUACGCAACGUUCAUCGGCGUAGGGUAAGUCGGCCCCUAAGGCGAGGCAGAAAUGCGUAGUCGAUGGGAAACAGGUUAAUAUUCCUGUACUUGAUUCAAAUGCGAUGUGGGGACGGAGAAGGUUAGGUUGGCAAGCUGUUGGAAUAGCUUGUUUAAGCCGGUAGGUGGAAGACUUAGGCAAAUCCGGGUUUUCUUAACACCGAGAAGUGAUGACGAGUGUCUACGGACACGAAGCAACCGAUACCACGCUUCCAGGAAAAGCCACUAAGCUUCAGUUUGAAUCGAACCGUACCGCAAACCGACACAGGUGGGCAGGAUGAGAAUUCUAAGGCGCUUGAGAGAACUCGGGAGAAGGAACUCGGCAAAUUGAUACCGUAACUUCGGGAGAAGGUAUGCCCUCUAAGGUUAAGGACUUGCUCCGUAAGCCCCGGAGGGUCGCAGAGAAUAGGUGGCUGCGACUGUUUAUUAAAAACACAGCACUCUGCCAACACGAAAGUGGACGUAUAGGGUGUGACGCCUGCCCGGUGCCGGAAGGUUAAUUGAAGAUGUGCAAGCAUCGGAUCGAAGCCCCGGUAAACGGCGGCCGUAACUAUAACGGUCCUAAGGUAGCGAAAUUCCUUGUCGGGUAAGUUCCGACCCGCACGAAUGGCGUAACGAUGGCCACACUGUCUCCUCCCGAGACUCAGCGAAGUUGAAGUGGUUGUGAAGAUGCAAUCUACCCGCUGCUAGACGGAAAGACCCCGUGAACCUUUACUGUAGCUUUGCAUUGGACUUUGAAGUCACUUGUGUAGGAUAGGUGGGAGGCUUGGAAGCAGAGACGCCAGUCUCUGUGGAGUCGUCCUUGAAAUACCACCCUGGUGUCUUUGAGGUUCUAACCCAGACCCGUCAUCCGGGUCGGGGACCGUGCAUGGUAGGCAGUUUGACUGGGGCGGUCUCCUCCCAAAGCGUAACGGAGGAGUUCGAAGGUUACCUAGGUCCGGUCGGAAAUCGGACUGAUAGUGCAAUGGCAAAAGGUAGCUUAACUGCGAGACCGACAAGUCGGGCAGGUGCGAAAGCAGGACAUAGUGAUCCGGUGGUUCUGUAUGGAAGGGCCAUCGCUCAACGGAUAAAAGGUACUCCGGGGAUAACAGGCUGAUUCCGCCCAAGAGUUCAUAUCGACGGCGGAGUUUGGCACCUCGAUGUCGGCUCAUCACAUCCUGGGGCUGUAGUCGGUCCCAAGGGUAUGGCUGUUCGCCAUUUAAAGUGGUACGUGAGCUGGGUUUAAAACGUCGUGAGACAGUUUGGUCCCUAUCUGCAGUGGGCGUUGGAAGUUUGACGGGGGCUGCUCCUAGUACGAGAGGACCGGAGUGGACGAACCUCUGGUGUACCGGUUGUAACGCCAGUUGCAUAGCCGGGUAGCUAAGUUCGGAAGAGAUAAGCGCUGAAAGCAUCUAAGCGCGAAACUCGCCUGAAGAUGAGACUUCCCUUGCGGUUUAACCGCACUAAAGGGUCGUUCGAGACCAGGACGUUGAUAGGUGGGGUGUGGAAGCGCGGUAACGCGUGAAGCUAACCCAUACUAAUUGCCCGUGAGGCUUGACUCU